UCCAUGAUGGCUACGUGCCCAGUUGGGG
Molecule: small RNA, 28 nt
Filed under: Bombyx mori (domestic silkworm)
Lineage: Eukaryota; Metazoa; Arthropoda; Insecta; Lepidoptera; Bombycidae
Description: ovarian small RNA-7224
Source: RNAcentral